GUGCCUUGCACAUCCAUGUGCCUCCAAUUGACUGUUGGUUUCUGUUUCUGUUUGUUUUGUUUGAAGUUGCAUACUAACAUCUGCUUGACUGUUUCAGGUGCUUUAGUUGCUUAGUUCCUUGUGAACUUUUUGCUUUGCUUUGCUUGUAUAAGCAAUUUGCAUUGAGGUAUGCCUCCUUUACUUCAUGUAGUCUGGAAGACCUGGUCUGUUACUUGGCCAGGCAACUGUCUGAAGUCCUCCUUAAGAGGCAAUGUUUGUGGAUGUUUACUUUUGUCCCUGCAUAGAGUCAAAGUCCUCCUAAGAGAAGAGGCAAUUGGUGGAAGGUAGG
RNAcentral lists this long non-coding RNA (328 nucleotides) under Lathyrus oleraceus (garden pea). RNAcentral's name for it is "Pisum sativum (pea) long non-coding RNA (PSAT_LNC029022)". Lineage: Eukaryota; Viridiplantae; Streptophyta; Magnoliopsida; Fabales; Fabaceae. The record is from RNAcentral.